Orcinus orca (killer whale) is the source of this 1620-nucleotide long non-coding RNA. RefSeq lists it as uncharacterized. NCBI's taxonomy places the organism in Eukaryota, Metazoa, Chordata, Mammalia, Artiodactyla, Delphinidae. The record is from RefSeq and is a predicted model, not a curated record. The transcript is spliced from 3 exons.
AAGAAAGUGGAGAAGUUAUAUAUUAAAUUGUGAACACACCUACUGCCUUUGUAAUUUGUUAUUAAAAACAAGAAAAAAAACCAGUAGAAAAAAUGACAGGAGACAAUUCACCAAAAAAAAAAAAAAAAAAAAAAAAUGCAGCUGGUUAAUAACAAUUGGGAGAAAAAUUCAGCCCUAAAAAAGCCUACUAGGGCUUCCCUGGUGGCGCAGUGGUUGAGAGUCCGCCUGCCGAUGCAGGUGCAUGCCGGGAAGAUCCCACAUGCCGUGGAGCUGCUGGACCCGUGAGCCAUGGCCGCUGAGCCUGCACGUCCGGAGCCUGUGCUCCGCAACGGGAGAGGCCACAACAGUGCGAGGCCCGCGUACCACACACACACAAAAAAGCCUACUAGUUUCUGAGGAACUCCUUAAUUCCAAGCCUCCUUUUCAAUGACGUGUGCCAUCAGAUCAGCCAAGCUGAGGGCGCUACAGUCACCACCCUAAGAUGAGGAAGACCAGCCUUGGCAAGCACAAGUGAGAAAGCCAGGCAGAGAGAAGAAAUAAACCUGGUUUAAAGAAUGAGCAUCCCAGGACUUCCCUGGUGGCGCAGUGGUAAAGAAUCCGCCUGCCAAUGCAGGGGACACAGGUUCGAGGUCCGGGAAGAUCCCACAUGCCGCGGAGCAACUAAGCCCGUGUGCCACAACCACUGAGCCUGCGUUCUAAAGCCCGCAAGCCACAACUACUGAGCCCAUGUGCCACAACUACUGAAGCCCACGCACCUAGAGCCCAUGCUCCACCACAAGAGAAGCCACCGUAAUGAGAAGCCCACGCACCACAACGAAGAGUAGCCCCCUGCUCACUGCAACUAGAGAAAGCCCGCGUGCAGCAACAAAGAGCCAAUGCAGACAUAAAUAAAUAAAUAAAUAAACAAAUAAAUAAAAAAGAAUGAGCAUCUGUGGUUAUGUUACAGAACAACUAGCACUGGCAGCUGAAAAGAUAUGUACCUAGGACAUCUAUUUUGGCUAUUCCUUUAUUAUAAUAUGAGCAAAGACUACAAAGCUGUAACAACGGCUGCUUAAACACAACUAGUAUGAAAAACGCAGGCAAAAAGAAAAAAAGGUCUGUAACAAAAUUAUCAUUUAGGUCCCAGAAAGUAAAAAUUACUCUGAGCUAAGGUUUUCUCUUCUCCACUUUCCUUAGUUAUGUGACAUUUUCUAGGAAAAAAAAGUCUCUUUCAUUGACAGUCUUCCUGGUCACCAUAUUUUUUUCUUCCAGUUUUAAUGAGAUACAACUGACAUACAGCACUGCUUAAGGUUCAGUUGUACAACAUAAUGAUUUAACUUAAGUACAUCAUGAAAUGAUUACAGUAAGUUUACCACAUCCAUCAUCCCAUAAAGAUACAAAAUUUAAAAAUGUUUUCCUUGUGUUGCGAACCCAGGAUUUGCUCUCCUAACAACUUUCACAUAUAACAUACAGCAAUGUUAAUGAUAUUAAUCAUGCUGUACAUGACACCCUUAGUACUUAUUUAUUUUAUAACUGGAAGUUUGUACCUCUGACCACCUUCAUCCAAUUCCUUUUUAAACUACUUUGGUACCUUGACCUAGAGUCCCAAUAUAUCUACUGAAAUGCAUUUGAAAAAGGUUA